This 469-nucleotide ribosomal RNA is filed under the name uncultured bacterium. RNAcentral's name for it is "bacterial SSU rRNA". It matches the Rfam family "Bacterial small subunit ribosomal RNA", at positions 1 to 507 of the family's 1533-position model. The record is from RNAcentral.
CGUACGAUACGAGUUUUGAUCAUGGCUCAGAACGAACGCUGGCGGCAGGCUUAACACAUGCAAGUCGAACGCUCGUAGCAAUACGGGAGUGGCGGACGGGUGAGUAACGCGUGGGAACGUGCCCUGAGGUACGGAAUAACUGCGGGAAACUGCAGCUAAUACCGUAUGAGCCCCGUGAGGGGGAAAGAUUUAUCGCCUUUAGGAGCGGCCCGCGUCGGAUUAGCUAGUUGGUGGGGUAACGGCUUACCAAGGCUUCGAUCCGUAGCUGGUCUGAGAGGACGAUCAGCCACACUGGGACUGAGACACGGCCCAGACUCCUACGGGAGGCAGCAGUGGGGGAAUCUUGCGCAAUGGGGGCAACCCUGACGCAGCCAUGCCGCGUGAAUGAUGAAGGCCUUAGGGUUGUAAAGUUCUUUUGCCCGUGACGAUGAUGACGGUAACGGGAGAAUAAGCUCCGGCUAACUUCGUG